AGAACGAACGCUGGCGGCGUGGAUAAGACAUGCAAGUCGAGCGCUGAUUACGGGGUAGCAAUACUCCGUGGUCGGAGCGGCGCAAGGGUGCGUAACACGUGGGUAAUCUGCCAUGAAGUUCGGGAUAACUUGCUGAAAGGCGAGCUAAUACCGGAUGUGACACUCGGAAGACAUCUUCUGAUUGUUAAAGUUGGGGACCGUAGGCCUGACGCUUCUUGAUGAACCCGCGGCCUAUCAGCUUGUUGGUGGGGUAAUGGCCUACCAAGGCGACGACGGGUA
RNAcentral lists this ribosomal RNA (279 nucleotides) under uncultured bacterium. Its description in RNAcentral is "partial small subunit ribosomal RNA". It matches the Rfam family "Bacterial small subunit ribosomal RNA", at positions 26 to 285 of the family's 1533-position model. The record is from RNAcentral.